This 367-nucleotide ribosomal RNA is filed under the name Escherichia coli. RNAcentral's name for it is "partial 23S ribosomal RNA". It matches the Rfam family "Bacterial large subunit ribosomal RNA", at positions 1551 to 1898 of the family's 2925-position model. Lineage: Bacteria; Pseudomonadati; Pseudomonadota; Gammaproteobacteria; Enterobacterales; Enterobacteriaceae. The record is from RNAcentral.
CAAGGCUGAGGCGUGAUGACGAGGCACUACGGUGCUGAAGCAACAAAUGCCCUGCUUCCAGGAAAAGCCUCUAAGCAUCAGGUAACAUCAAAUCGUACCCCAAACCGACACAGGUGGUCAGGUAGAGAAUACCAAGGCGCUUGAGAGAACUCGGGUGAAGGAACUAGGCAAAAUGGUGCCGUAACUUCGGGAGAAGGCACGCUGAUAUGUAGGUGAAGCGACUUGCUCGUGGAGCUGAAAUCAGUCGAAGAUACCAGCUGGCUGCAACUGUUUAUUAAAAACACAGCACUGUGCAAACACGAAAGUGGACGUAUACGGUGUGACGCCUGCCCGGUGCCGGAAGGUUAAUUGAUGGGGUUAGCGGUAA